RNAcentral lists this long non-coding RNA (2016 nucleotides) under Dicentrarchus labrax (European seabass). RNAcentral describes it as "lncRNA (ENSDLAG00005031167.1)". The record is from RNAcentral. Lineage: Eukaryota; Metazoa; Chordata; Actinopteri; Moronidae.
AAGCUCCGGUGGAAAAUUAUUAGCUAACGCUACCGUAAACGUUAGCCUAACAUUAGCUAGAUUUGUUACUAAAGAGCAGCUAGCUUGUAUAGCUAACAGUAAAUCACAAAAAAGAAAUAAUAAAAUGUAUUAAAAUCUGAAUUACCUAACAUUGUAUUGGUUGUCAUUCAUGAUGGAAGAGUAGACAAGUUAAACUACAGCAUGUCCACCAUCUCUUGUGGGGGUUAUGCAUUAAGCCACAUUGUGCCUCAUAUACUGUAAAUGUUAGACCCAGGGACAGGCUGGCUGACAAUGGCUUGCAUAAUACUUAGUAAGGAGGCCAUAAUAUUUAUUCAAAAUUUUCUUCCGGGGGAGCAUGCCCAUAGAGGGGUAAUAUCCUUCUUACCUUUUUCACCCCUGACCCGUUUUCAUGCCUGCUUAAGCCUACUCUUAAAUGUGGAGAGGGUGUCUGCCUCCCUAACCACAACUGGAAGCUGGUUCCACAGGAGAGGAGCUUGGUCACUGAAGGCUCUGGCUCCUGUUCUACUUUUACUGAUUAUAUCACGACGCUAGCCUCCUAUGUUUUAAUAUUUUCUUUUUUAGAGGGGCAACACAGUCGAGUGUUGUUCGCAGUAACCUGCAGCACUAUUAACAAGAUGAUCAAUUUGGGAGGGACUAAGGUAAUCAAAGGAGUAUUUAAAUACAGAUUUUGCUGUAUAUAUACAUUUUGCUACAGCACUGUCAGAUAGACAUCUGGUAAAUGAUGGUCAGAUAAAAAAGGAUUACGGAGAAAGAUUAAAUGUUCAAUUGAAAUGCCAUAUGAUAGAACGAGGUCAAGAGUGUGAUUAAGCCUCCGCUCUUCUGAUGCCAACCUCCUAUCUCCACCACUGAGGACCAAGCAUCGUCCACGGGGCGACAGAGCCUUCUCCAUUGCUGCCCCCUCCCUCUGGAACUCUCUCCCCAAACAAAUCCGAGACUGUACUGAUCCAUCCAAUUUCAAAUCACUGAUCAAAACCCUUAAAAAUGAGGUUCCUCUGGCUCCUCCUAGUGCUCCCAAUGGCAUUUGCAAGAAUCUACCAGGUCUUAACAAGAAUAACCAAUCGAAAGAUAGAAAAGACACUUUGGGUUGGUGGCUUGAAGAUAGUCGAGUGUUAAGUCUCAUUCACAGCAUCAGUAUUGGACGACCUGGGAAUGAGACUUUAAAAUGAACUUUCUUUCAUGGCUCUGAGUGUUUUUUCCCCCAGUUCAGGUCUGGUGGAUUCUUGUAAAUACCAUUAGGAGCACUAGGAGGAACCUGAUUUCACAGAUUAUCUGACGUACUACUGUGAUAUGGUGAAAGUUUCAGCAAAUAUGACAAAAAGUUACUUUUAUAAAAGUUACUUACUGCAGCUUUAGCUAUAAUCUCUAACUUGGUUAUAACCUUUCAUAAAAACAGGCUUUACAUCAUCUCCAUCUGCUGCAUAUAUGAACACUAGUGUUUUACACUGCCGGUUUCCAUGAGUGCAUGUGUCUCUGGUUUGGCAACCAGUGCUGUCACAAUGCAGCAUAACUUCCUCUCAUUUACUACAAUACACAAUGCAUCUUCUGUUUUUCAUGGUAGCUGUUCCUCCUUAGAUACUUAAUACCACCGGCUUUUACAGACCAAAUCUAAAAUGCUGGUUCAGCUAAAUGUAUGGUUCAUCUGCUUCAAGGCUUUCAUUGCUGGACUCUCAGUGAUUCCUGGCUGGAAUAUAUCUAGAAUAUGCCCUCAAGAAGCCUCACAGUUAGCAAAUGGCAGCAUGCAUGAGAUAGUGGUGAAGGAGGGAUAUCUUAUGCAUUUUGUUAGUUAGCGAUAUACAGUUUAUCGGUAUUAAAAAUACCAGAAUUACUUUUGUAUGCCACUGCCAACCAGUGAAAUUGCAGUUUACAUUCUUGUCUGUCCACACCAUCGACUUGUCCGUAAAGACGGAUGACAUGACAGUUCUCCAAAGUCCACCAAGUCAUCCACCAAAGUGGACAUGCUAUAAUUUUUAUUCAUUUUUUAAAAGGUUAUAUUCC